RNAcentral lists this ribosomal RNA (554 nucleotides) under fungal sp. 190C1a. RNAcentral's name for it is "eukaryotic LSU rRNA". The stretch from base 194 to 347 matches the Rfam family "5.8S ribosomal RNA". Lineage: Eukaryota; Fungi. The record is from RNAcentral.
CGUAGGUGAACCUGCGGAGGGAUCAUUACACAAAUAUGAAGGCGGGCUGGAACCUCUCGGGGUUACAGCCUUGCUGAAUUAUUCACCCUUGUCUUUUGCGUACUUCUUGUUUCCUUGGUGGGUUCGCCCACCACUAGGACAAACAUAAACCUUUUGUAAUUGCAAUCAGCGUCAGUAACAAAUUAAUAAUUACAACUUUCAACAACGGAUCUCUUGGUUCUGGCAUCGAUGAAGAACGCAGCGAAAUGCGAUAAGUAGUGUGAAUUGCAGAAUUCAGUGAAUCAUCGAAUCUUUGAACGCACAUUGCGCCCUUUGGUAUUCCAAAGGGCAUGCCUGUUCGAGCGUCAUUUGUACCCUCAAGCUUUGCUUGGUGUUGGGCGUCUUGUCUCUAGCUUUGCUGGAGACUCGCCUUAAAGUAAUUGGCAGCCGGCCUACUGGUUUCGGAGCGCAGCACAAGUCGCACUCUCUAUCAGCAAAGGUCUAGCAUCCAUUAAGCCUUUUUUUCAACUUUUGACCUCGGAUCAGGUAGGGAUACCCGCUGAACUUAAGCAUAU